UAGGGAAUCUUCGGCAAUGGGGGGAACCCUGACCGAGCAACGCCGCGUGAGUGAAGAAGGUUUUCGGAUCGUAAAGCUCUGUUGUUAAGGAAGAACGAGUGUGAGAAUGGAAAGUUCAUACUGUGACGGUACUUAACCAGAAAGGGACGGCUAACUACGUGCCAGCAGCCGCGGUAAUACGUAGGUCCCGAGCGUUGUCCGGAUUUAUUGGGCGUAAAGCGAGCGCAGGCGGUUAGAUAAGUCUGAAGUUAAAGGCAGUGGCUCAACCAUUGUAGGCUUUGGAAACUGUGUAACUUGAGUGCAGAAGGGGAGAGUGGAAUUCCAUGUGUAGCGGGGAAAUGCGUAGAUAUAUGGAGGAACACCGGUGGCGAAAGCGGCUCUCUGGUCUGUAACUGACGCUGAGGCUCGAAAGCGUGGGGAGCGAACAGG
RNAcentral lists this ribosomal RNA (429 nucleotides) under Bacteroidota bacterium. Its description in RNAcentral is "Bacteroidetes bacterium partial 16S ribosomal RNA". It matches the Rfam family "Bacterial small subunit ribosomal RNA", at positions 355 to 776 of the family's 1533-position model. The record is from RNAcentral. Lineage: Bacteria; Pseudomonadati; Bacteroidota.